Small nuclear RNA from Delphinapterus leucas (beluga whale), 107 nucleotides. The record is from Ensembl. NCBI's taxonomy places the organism in Eukaryota, Metazoa, Chordata, Mammalia, Artiodactyla, Monodontidae.
GUGCUCACUUCGGCAGCACGUAUACUAAAAUUGGAACCAUACAGAGAAGAUUAGCAUGGCCCCUGCACAAGGAUGACACGCAAAUUCGUGAAGCGUUCCAUAUUUUU